RNAcentral lists this ribosomal RNA (616 nucleotides) under uncultured bacterium. RNAcentral describes it as "bacterial SSU rRNA". It matches the Rfam family "Bacterial small subunit ribosomal RNA", at positions 338 to 949 of the family's 1533-position model. The record is from RNAcentral.
CCUACGGGAGGCAGCAGUGGGGAAUUUUGGACAAUGGGCGCAAGCCUGAUCCAGCAAUGCCGCGUGAGUGAAGAAGGCCUUCGGGUUGUAAAGCUCUUUUGUCAGGGAAGAAACGGCAGUUUCUAAUACAGAUUGCUAAUGACGGUACCUGAAGAAUAAGCACCGGCUAACUACGUGCCAGCAGCCGCGGUAAUACGUAGGGUGCAAGCGUUAAUCGGAAUUACUGGGCGUAAAGCGUGCGCAGGCGGUUUUGUAAGUUUGUCGUGAAAUCCCCGGGCUCAACCUGGGAAUGGCGAUGAAGACUGCAAGGCUAGAAUCUGGCAGAGGGGGGUAGAAUUCCACGUGUAGCAGUGAAAUGCGUAGAGAUGUGGAGGAACACCGAUGGCGAAGGCAGCCCCCUGGGUCAAGAUUGACGCUCAUGCACGAAAGCGUGGGGAGCAAACAGGAUUAGAUACCCUGGUAGUCCACGCCCUAAACGAUGUCUACUAGUUGUCGGGUUUUAAUUAACUUGGUAACGCAGCUAACGCGUGAAGUAGACCGCCUGGGGAGUACGGUCGCAAGNUUAAAACUUNAAAGUUGAGUAGNGNGNGNGAGNGCGAGAGACGACGAGGAGAGG